GACGACGCUGGCGGCGUGCUUAUACAUGCAAGUCGAACGCUUCUUUUCCCACCGGAGCUUGCUCCACCGGGAAAAGAGGAGUGGCGAACGGGUGAGUAACACGUGGGUAACCUGCCCAUCAGAAGGGGAUAACACUUGGAAACAGGUGCUAAUACCGUAUAACAAUCGAAACCGCAUGGUUUCGUUUUGAAAGGCGCUUUACGGUGCCGCUGAUGGAUGGACCCGCGGUGCAUUAGCUAGUUGGUGAGGUAACGGCUCACCAAGGCCACGAUGCAUAGCCGACCUGAGAGGGUGAUCGGCCACAUUGGGACUGAGACACGGCCCAAACUCCUACGGGAGGCAGCAGUAGGGAAUCUUCGGCAAUGGACGAAAGUCUGACCGAGCAACGCCGCGUGAGUGAAGAAGGUUUUCGGAUCGUAAAACUCUGUUGUUAGAGAAGAACAAGGGUGAGAGUAACUGUUCACCCCUUGACGGUAUCUAACCAGAAAGCCACGGCUAACUACGUGCCAGCAGCCGCGGUAAUACGUAGGUGGCAAGCGUUGUCCGGAUUUAUUGGGCGUAAAGCGAGCGCAGGCGGUUUCUUAAGUCUGAUGUGAAAGCCCCCGGCUCAACCGGGGAGGGUCAUUGGAAACUGGGAGACUUGAGUGCAGAAGAGGAGAGUGGAAUUCCAUGUGUAGCGGUGAAAUGCGUAGAUAUAUGGAGGAACACCAGUGGCGAAGGCGGCUCUCUGGUCUGUAACUGACGCUGAGGCUCGAAAGCGUGGGGAGCAAACAGGAUUAGAUACCCUGGUAGUCCACGCCGUAAACGAUGAGUGCUAAGUGUUGGAGGGUUUCCGCCCUUCAGUGCUGCAGCUAACGCAUUAAGCACUCCGCCUGGGGAGUACGACCGCAAGGUUGAAACUCAAAGGAAUUGACGGGGGCCCGCACAAGCGGUGGAGCAUGUGGUUUAAUUCGAAGCAACGCGAAGAACCUUACCAGGUCUUGACAUCCUUUGACCACUCUAGAGAUAGAGCUUCCCCUUCGGGGGCAAAGUGACAGGUGGUGCAUGGUUGUCGUCAGCUCGUGUCGUGAGAUGUUGGGUUAAGUCCCGCAACGAGCGCAACCCUUAUUGUUAGUUGCCAUCAUUUAGUUGGGCACUCUAGCAAGACUGCCGGUGACAAACCGGAGGAAGGUGGGGAUGACGUCAAAUCAUCAUGCCCCUUAUGACCUGGGCUACACACGUGCUACAAUGGGAAGUACAACGAGUCGCGAAGUCGCGAGGCUAAGCUAAUCUCUUAAAGCUUCUCUCAGUUCGGAUUGUAGGCUGCAACUCGCCUACAUGAAGCCGGAAUCGCUAGUAAUCGCGGAUCAGCACGCCGCGGUGAAUACGUUCCCGGGCCUUGUACACACCGCCCGUCACACCACGAGAGUUUGUAACACCCGAAGUCGGUGAGGUAACCUUUUUGGAGCCAG
RNAcentral lists this ribosomal RNA (1451 nucleotides) under Enterococcus mundtii. Its description in RNAcentral is "bacterial SSU rRNA". It matches the Rfam family "Bacterial small subunit ribosomal RNA". The record is from RNAcentral. Lineage: Bacteria; Bacillati; Bacillota; Bacilli; Lactobacillales; Enterococcaceae.